This 495-nucleotide ribosomal RNA is filed under the name uncultured bacterium. RNAcentral's name for it is "partial 16S ribosomal RNA". It matches the Rfam family "Bacterial small subunit ribosomal RNA", at positions 28 to 507 of the family's 1533-position model. The record is from RNAcentral.
GACGAACGCUGGCGGCGUGCCUAAUACAUGCAAGUAGAACGCUGAAGGAGGAGCUUGCUCUUCUGGAUGAGCUGCGAACGGGUGAGUAACGCGUAGGUAACCUGCCUGGUAGCGGGGGAUAACUAUUGGAAACGAUAGCUAAUACCGCAUAACAGUAGAUGUUGCAUGACAUUUACUUAAAAGGUGCAAUUGCAUCACUACCAGAUGGACCUGCGUUGUAUUAGCUAGUUGGUGGGGUAACGGCUCACCAAGGCGACGAUACAUAGCCGACCUGAGAGGGUGAUCGGCCACACUGGGACUGAGACACGGCCCAGACUCCUACGGGAGGCAGCAGUAGGGAAUCUUCGGCAAUGGACGGAAGUCUGACCGAGCAACGCCGCGUGAGUGAAGAAGGUUUUCGGAUCGUAAAGCUCUGUUGUAAGAGAAGAACGAGUGUGAGAGUGGAAAGUUCACACUGUGACGGUAUCUUACCAGAAAGGGACGGCUAACUACGUG